AAAAAAAAAAAAAAAAGAACUCCACAUAAAGAUUGUCAAUUAAUUAUUUGUCACCCCAAAUAAAAUCACAGAGGCUAGUUGUUCACAGGAAAGACGUCAUCUGAAGUACAAUUUGGGUGUGCCCAGGUACAACAUUUCAUCUAACUACGCUUUGCAUUGUCUGCUCUAAUUCUGCAAAGACUGAAGAAUUUAAUCCAAGCAGAAAACACUUCUCAAAGGAAGCACUAUAUAUUAGAACAGUAAAAACAAUAAAACAAGAACCAUGCACUAAAGCUUAUAACUCUAAUCCUACAUUAGGUCAUUUUGUUUUCAGCAAGAAUACUGAUUGCAAGAUUUGAAAUAUUUCACGGACUUAUCUAGCAUCACGCCUGGCAAAGCACUGAAAGGAGCUGAAAAAAGCUUGACAGGCAUUGCAUUAAUCACAAUAUUUGCUGCCAAAACUCAAACAGAUAACAAAAAUUAAAAGUUAAAAACUGAAGUCUUACGUGCUUAGU
This 494-nucleotide unclassified non-coding RNA is filed under the name Hevea brasiliensis (rubber tree). The record is from RNAcentral. Lineage: Eukaryota; Viridiplantae; Streptophyta; Magnoliopsida; Malpighiales; Euphorbiaceae.